Molecule: long non-coding RNA, 1558 nt
Organism: Callithrix jacchus (white-tufted-ear marmoset)
Lineage: Eukaryota; Metazoa; Chordata; Mammalia; Primates; Cebidae
Source: Ensembl
AUGAAGCAUGAGAAGGAUUCGCCAUGCAAUUAUUGGCUCGAAGACGAGGGGGUCUGCAUGUCAAGAAGACAGGGAUCUCAGUUCCGCAACUGCAAUGAACUGAAUUCUGCUAACAACCUAGAUGCAUUUGGAAGUGGAUUCUUCCCCAGAUUCUGCAGACAGCCCAGCCCAGCCAACACUGGAGCGCCAAAGUGGAUUUCAGCUUUGAGAGUCCCUGAGUACAGAACGCAGCUGUGCCACACUGUGCCGGGACUUCUGGUCCAGGGAUGCUCCCAACCUGAUCACAACGAAUGCACAAAGAAAGAAUCCGAGGCUGAGCUGCUGACUGUAGAGAUGGGAUGCAGUGAAUGAUGUUUCUAUUUGAGCGACCGAGUGGAGAGAGAGAGUGGGGGCAAGAAUGUAGAUUUAAACAUCCUUGACUUCCCCCAUCCUUUGCUGGGGAGGAGGCAGAUGAACAGAGGCUUCCAGAAGUGUCUGGGUGAGUCCUAGAGCAGGUUUGUCCAUGCAUCUUCAGACAUGGCCUGGAAAGACUAGGCACCUCUCAGAAAAAUCUGGGCAGGUGGUGAGGGGGCUGCUGCUGCUUCUUAUAUUGAGGUAGAAGGCAGAGGUUGGACACCAGACCAAAUUGAGGACUAGCUAAAAUGGGGAUGGGGCAAAAACAACUUUCUGUAAAACAUGCCCACCAGAAUGCCAUGUCAGUUUACCGUUGCCAUGGUGACACUCGAGCGGUGUCAUCUUUGCCCAUGGCAAUGGCCUAACCACCUAGAAGUUACCACUCUUUUUCAAGAAAUUUCUGCAUAUUCUGUCCCUUAAUUUUCAAAGUAAAUACAAAUGUGAGUAAAAAACUGCCUCUGAGCUGCUGCUCUGGGCACACUGCCUCUGGGGUAUCCCUGCUCCACAAGGCGCAGCACCUCUGCUGCUGCUUCAGUGAAAGCAGUUUUCUAAUACCAACAGCUGACCCUUAAAUAUUCCCUGGGCAAAGCCAAUAACCCACCCAGGCAAAGCUUCGGUUUUGGAUUCACCUGCCCUGCAUCGGUAUGACAUGCAAAAGCAAAGAGAAAACGUUUGGGGGUGGGUGUGAGAUGUGACUCGCAGGUCUCCAAGGUCUUGGGCAAGCUGUUCCUUGAAGCUGGGCAUCCAAUCGGUGUGGUGUCAGUCUUGGGCUCUCCAAAGAAUGGCAGCCCCAGCAGGACAGUGGAGUCAGUGGGGAAGAACCACAGCCUUGCAGGCUACGGGUCCCUACAGCCACAGACACCUGCCUUCGCAGUGGGUCCAGCAGGGAGCACCAGGAUCCUAACCUUUCCCGGUGUCCACCUGCCACUGGGAGUAGGAAGAAGCAGGAUGUUCUUGAGGACAAGAGACAUUUAGGAAGACUAAUUGCCCAACUGCCUUCGACUGACAAGAUUGAGCAUUUACAGAUAUCUUGCAAUCAAUAAGAGUUCAAGAGCAAGAUAAGCUGAGAUACCAAAAAAUAAUAAUGGUCGCUUUUUGUUUUGUUUUGUUUUCCCAUUUGGCUCCUAUUAAAUAGUUUUCUAGGUUGUAGAAAUUUAUCCUUUCC